AGAGUUUGAUCCUGGCUCAGGAUGAACGCUAGCGAUAGGCUUAACACAUGCAAGUCGAGGGGCAGCGCGGAGAUCAGCUUGCUGAACUCUGGUGGCGACCGGCGGAUGGGUGAGUAACACGUAUGCAACCUUCCUAUAACUUGUGCAUAACCCGGAGAAAUCCGGACUAAUUCACAAUAAUACGUUUAUCUCGCAUGAGAUUAACUUUAAAGAUUUAUCGGUUAUAGAUGGGCAUGCGCUCCAUUAGCUUGUUGGUGAGGUAACUGCUCACCAAGGCAUCGAUGGAUAGGGGAACUGAGAGGUUUAUCCCCCACACUGGGACUGAGACACGGCCCAGACUCCUACGGGAGGCAGCAGUGAGGAAUAUUGGUCAAUGAGGGCAACCUUGAACCAGCCAAGUCGCGUGAAGGAUGACGGUCCAAAGGAUUGUAAACUUCUUUUAUACAGGAAUAACCAUGGCCACGUGUGGCCAUCUGCAUGUACUGUAUGAAUAAGGGUCGGCUAACUUCGUGCCAGCAGCCGCGGUAAUACGAAGGACCCGAGCGUUAUCCGGAUUUAUUGGGUUUAAAGGGUGCGCAGGCGGGAGAUUAAGUCGGUGGUGAAAUUUUGCGGCUCAACCGUAAGAGUGCCAUCGAAACUGGUUUUCUUGAGUGUAGAUGAAGUAGGCGGAAUUUGUGGUGUAGCGGUGAAAUGCAUAGAUAUCACGAGGAACUCCAAUUGCGCAGGCAGCUUACUAAACUACUACUGACGCUCAUGCACGAAGGCGUGGGGAUCAAACAGGAUUAGAUACCCUGGUAGUCCACGCAGUAAACGAUGAUUACUAGUUGUUUGUGAUACACUGUAAGCGACUGCGCGCAAGCAUUAAGUAAUCCACCUGGGGAGUACGUUCGCAAGAAUGAAACUCAAAGGAAUUGACGGGGGCCCGCACAAGCGGAGGAACAUGUGGUUUAAUUUGAUGAUACGCGAGGAACCUUACCUGGGCUUGAAAUGUAUUUGACCGGCACAGAGACGUGCCUUCUCUUCGGAGCAGAUGUGUAGGUGCUGCAUGGUUGUCGUCAGCUCGUGCCGUGAGGUGUCGGCUUAAGUGCCAUAACGAGCGCAACCCUUGUCGUUAGUUGCUAACAAGUUAAGUUGAGGACUCUAACGAGACUGCCAUCGUAAGAUGUGAGGAAGGUGGGGAUGACGUCAAAUCAGCACGGCCCUUAUGUCCAGGACGACACACGUGUUACAAUGGGUAGAACAACGGGCAGCUACCGGGCGACCGGAUGCUAAUCUCUAAAAACUACUCUCAGUUCGGAUCGAAGUCUGCAACUCGACUUCGUGAAGCUGGAUUCGCUAGUAAUCGCGCAUCAGCCACGGCGCGGUGAAUACGUUCCCGGGCCUUGUACACACCGCCCGUCAAGG
This 1404-nucleotide ribosomal RNA is filed under the name uncultured bacterium. Its description in RNAcentral is "bacterial SSU rRNA". It matches the Rfam family "Bacterial small subunit ribosomal RNA". The record is from RNAcentral.